Molecule: ribosomal RNA, 494 nt
Filed under: uncultured bacterium
Lineage: Bacteria
Description: bacterial SSU rRNA
Rfam family: Bacterial small subunit ribosomal RNA
Source: RNAcentral
GAUCAUGGCUCAGAUUGAACGCUGGCGGCAGGCCUAACACAUGCAAGUCGAGCGAGAAAGGUCUUCGGACUGAGUACAGCGGCGGACGGGUAAGUAAUGCGCAGGAAUCUACCUGGUAGUGGGGGAUAACUCGGGGAAACUCGAACUAAUACCGCAUACGCCCUACGGGGGAAAGCGGGGGACCUUCGGGCCUCGCGCUAUCAGAUGAGCCUGCGUAGGAUUAGCUUGUUGGUGAGGUAAAGGCUCACCAAGGCGACGAUCCUUAGCUGGUCUGAGAGGAUGAUCAGCCACACUGGAACUGAGACACGGUCCAGACUCCUACGGGAGGCAGCAGUGGGGAAUAUUGCGCAAUGGGCGAAAGCCUGACGCAGCCAUGCCGCGUGUGUGAAGAAGGCCCUUGGGUUGUAAAGCACUUUCAAUUGGGAAGAAAGGUUGCGUGUUAAUAGCACGUAGCUGUGACGUUACCUUUAGAAGAAGCACCGGCUAACUCCGUG